AGUGAACGCUGGCGGUAGGCCUAACACAUGCAAGUCGAGCGGCAGCACAGUAAGAGCUUGCUCUUACGGGUGGCGAGUGGCGGACGGGUGAGGAAUACAUCGGAAUCUACUUUUUCGUGGGGGAUAACGUAGGGAAACUUACGCUAAUACCGCAUACGACCUACGGGUGAAAGCAGGGGAUCUUCGGACCUUGCGCGAUUGAAUGAGCCGAUGUCGGAUUAGCUAGUCGGCGGGGUAAAGGCCCACCAAGGCGACGAUCCGUAGCUGGUCUGAGAGGAUGAUCAGCCACACUGGAACUGAGACACGGUCCAGACUCCUACGGGAGGCAGCAGUGGGGAAUAUUGGACAAUGGGCGCAAGCCUGAUCCAGCCAUACCGCGUGGGUGAAGAAGGCCUUCGGGUUGUAAAGCCCUUUUGUUGGGAAAGAAAAGCAGCAGGUUAAUACCCCGCUGUUCUGACGGUACCCAAAGAAUAAGCACCGGCUAACUUCGUG
Molecule: ribosomal RNA, 492 nt
Filed under: uncultured bacterium
Lineage: Bacteria
Description: partial 16S ribosomal RNA
Rfam family: Bacterial small subunit ribosomal RNA
Source: RNAcentral